ACGGAAGGCAGCAGUGGGGAAUAUUGCGCAAUGGGGGAAACCCUGAUGCAGCGAUGCCGCGUGGAGGAAGAAGGUUUUCGGAUUGUAAACUCCUGUCUUAAAGGACGAUAAUGACGGUACUUUAGGAGGAAGCUCCGGCUAACUACGUGCCAGCAGCCGCGGUAAUACGUAGGGAGCGAGCGUUGUCCGGAAUUACUGGGUGUAAAGGGAGCGUAGGCGGGACGGCAAGUCAGAUGUGAAAUACAUGGGCUCAACCCAUGGGCUGCAUUUGAAACUGCUGUUCUUGAGUGAAGUAGAGGUAAGCGGAAUUCCUGGUGUAGCGGUGAAAUGCGUAGAUAUCAGGAGGAACACCGGUGGCGAAGGCGGCUUGCUGGGGACUUAUCGACGCUCAUGCUCGAAAGUGCGGGUAGCAAACAGGAUUAGAUACCCUGGUA
This 434-nucleotide ribosomal RNA is filed under the name uncultured Ruminococcus sp. RNAcentral's name for it is "partial 16S ribosomal RNA". It matches the Rfam family "Bacterial small subunit ribosomal RNA", at positions 341 to 792 of the family's 1533-position model. Lineage: Bacteria; Bacillati; Bacillota; Clostridia; Eubacteriales; Oscillospiraceae. The record is from RNAcentral.